Molecule: ribosomal RNA, 252 nt
Filed under: uncultured bacterium
Lineage: Bacteria
Description: partial 16S ribosomal RNA
Rfam family: Bacterial small subunit ribosomal RNA
Source: RNAcentral
UACAGAGGUCUCAAGCGUUGUUCGGAUUCAUUGGGCGUAAAGGGUGUGUAGGUGGCGCGCUAAGUCGGGUGUGAAAUUUCGGAGCUUAACUCCGAAACUGCAUUCGAUACUGGCGUGCUUGAGGACUGGAGAGGAGACUGGAAUUCAUGGUGUAGCAGUGAAAUGCGUAGAGAUCAUGAGGAAGACCAGUGGCGAAGGCGGGUCUCUGGACAGUUCUGACACUGAGACACGAAGGCCAGGGGAGCAAACGGG